RNAcentral lists this ribosomal RNA (752 nucleotides) under uncultured bacterium. Its description in RNAcentral is "bacterial SSU rRNA". It matches the Rfam family "Bacterial small subunit ribosomal RNA", at positions 8 to 754 of the family's 1533-position model. The record is from RNAcentral.
AGAGUUUGAUCCUGGCUCAGAUUGAACGCUAGCGGGAUGCCUUACACAUGCAAGUCGAACGGCAGCACGGACUUCGGUCUGGUGGCGAGUGGCGAACGGGUGAGUAAUGUAUCGGAACGUGCCCAGUAGCGGGGGAUAACUACGCGAAAGCGUAGCUAAUACCGCAUACGCCCUACGGGGGAAAGCAGGGGAUCGCAAGACCUUGCACUAUUGGAGCGGCCGAUAUCGGAUUAGCUAGUUGGUGGGGUAACGGCUCACCAAGGCGACGAUCCGUAGCUGGUUUGAGAGGACGACCAGCCACACUGGGACUGAGACACGGCCCAGACUCCUUCGGGAGGCAGCAGUGGGGAAUUUUGGACAAUGGGGGAAACCCUGAUCCAGCCAUCCCGCGUGUGCGAUGAAGGCCUUCGGGUUGUAAAGCACUUUUGGCAGGAAAGAAACGUCAUGGGUUAAUACCCCGUGAAACUGACGGUACCUGCAGAAUAAGCACCGGCUAACUACGUGCCAGCAGCCGCGGUAAUACGUAGGGUGCAAGCGUUAAUCGGAAUUACUGGGCGUAAAGCGUGCGCAGGCGGUUCGGAAAGAAAGAUGUGAAAUCCCAGAGCUUAACUUUGGAACUGCAUUUUUAACUACCGGGCUAGAGUGUGUCAGAGGGAGGUGGAAUUCCGCGUGUAGCAGUGAAAUGCGUAGAUAUGCGGAGGAACACCGAUGGCGAAGGCAGCCUCCCUGGGAUAACACUGACGCUCAUGCAC